GCCAUGGCUGUUUAAAGUGGUAUCACAAUGUAUGAUUGUGGCCUUAAAAGAGACUCUUAAUCUCAGGGUUGUGGGUUGAAGCCCCACGUUGGGCA
This is a non-coding RNA of Podarcis lilfordi (Lilford's wall lizard), 95 nucleotides long. Lineage: Eukaryota; Metazoa; Chordata; Lepidosauria; Squamata; Lacertidae. The record is from the annotation of a GenBank genome assembly.